ACCAGACCACCAUGUUCGUAGACCCUCCGGCGAACCACUGUGAACCGUCAUUCCUGAAUCACCCCACCAUCGUUGAAUCGUUUGGGGAUUUUUGAGUUUAAUCAUCCAAGCGUUCUUCAAACGCGAGAUAGGUUGGUGUAGUUCAUCAAACCAGGAUGCCUUCCACUGAUCCAGUUCUCCUCCCGCGAGUUCAAGGAAACCAUCAUCGUCACCAUCGCAGGUAGCCUUUUGUUCAGAUUCGAAAGUAUCAUAGAGCUCAUUCCGGAAGUUGGUGCUCCUGUCAUGGCUGUGAGCGCACUUGGCUCACGGUUUCUUUCUGAGGGUCACAAUGUUUAUGAAGCAGAACA
Molecule: long non-coding RNA, 347 nt
Organism: Helianthus annuus (common sunflower)
Lineage: Eukaryota; Viridiplantae; Streptophyta; Magnoliopsida; Asterales; Asteraceae
Exons: 4
Source: RefSeq, a predicted model, not a curated record